This 253-nucleotide ribosomal RNA is filed under the name uncultured bacterium. RNAcentral's name for it is "partial 16S ribosomal RNA". It matches the Rfam family "Bacterial small subunit ribosomal RNA", at positions 524 to 776 of the family's 1533-position model. The record is from RNAcentral.
UACAGAGGGGGCAAGCGUUGUUCGGAAUUACUGGGCGUAAAGGGCGCGUAGGCGGCCUUCUAAGUCGAACGUGAAAUCCCCGGGCUCAACCCGGGAACUGCGUCCGAGACUGAAAGGCUUGAAUCCGGGAGAGGGAUGUGGAAUUCCAGGUGUAGCGGUGAAAUGCGUAGAUAUCUGGAGGAACAUCGGUGGCGAAGGCGGCAACCUGGACCGGUAUUGACGCUGAGGCGCGAAAGCCAGGGGAGCAAACGGG